CGAAUCUGCCGAGAAGUGGGGGAUAGCUCGCCGAAAGGCGAAUUAAUACCGCAUGUGAUCAGAGUGGACAUCCAUUCGAAAUCAAAGUCGGGGCAACCUGACGCUUUUUGAGGAGCCCGCGGCCUAUCAGCUAGUUGGUGAGGUAACGGCUCACCAAGGCUUUGACGGGUAGCUGGUCUGAGACGGACGACCAGCCACACUGGGACUGAGACACGGCCCAG
This 221-nucleotide ribosomal RNA is filed under the name uncultured bacterium. RNAcentral's name for it is "partial 16S ribosomal RNA". It matches the Rfam family "Bacterial small subunit ribosomal RNA", at positions 122 to 334 of the family's 1533-position model. The record is from RNAcentral.